CUACGGGCUGCUGCAGUGAGGAAUAUUGCGCAAUGGGGGAAACCCUGACGCAGCGACGCCGCGUGGAUGAUGAAGGCCUUCGGGUUGUAAAAUCCUGUCAGGAGGGAAGAAGUGUAUGGUAGCUAAUAUCUGCCAUAUUUGACGGUACAUCCAAAGGAAGCACCGGCUAACUCCGUGCCAGCAGCCGCGGUAAUACGGAGGGUGCAAGCGUUGUUCGGAAUUACUGGGCGUAAAGCGCGCGUAGGCGGCUAUGUAAGUCAGAUGGUGAAAGCCCAUGGCUCAACCAUGGACGUGCAUUUGAUACUGGAUAGCUUGAGUAUUGGAGGGGGUGGUGGAAUUCCCGGUGUAGAGGUGAAAUUCGUAGAUAUCGGGAGGAAUACCGGUGGCGAAGGCGACCACCUGGCCAAAUACUGACGCUGAGGUGCGAAAGCGUGGGGAGCAAACAGGAUUAGAUACCCCGGUAGUC
RNAcentral lists this ribosomal RNA (466 nucleotides) under uncultured bacterium. Its description in RNAcentral is "partial 16S ribosomal RNA". It matches the Rfam family "Bacterial small subunit ribosomal RNA", at positions 339 to 795 of the family's 1533-position model. The record is from RNAcentral.